Molecule: long non-coding RNA, 1277 nt
Organism: Colius striatus (speckled mousebird)
Lineage: Eukaryota; Metazoa; Chordata; Aves; Coliiformes; Coliidae
Exons: 5
Source: RefSeq, a predicted model, not a curated record
GGCGAGAGCAGCAGCCCCCACAGCGCGGCCCACAGCAGCGCGACGGCACUCAUCUUCCUCCGCCGCCGCUCGCCACGGGCCUCGGCUGCGCUCGGGCUCCCCGCGCCGCCGCCGGCUCACGGGCAGGCGCCACUUCCUCUUCCGCCCGACGGGGGCGGUUGCUGCCGCCGCCGCCGCCAGGCCGGGCCCAGCCGAGGGGCGAAGGGGGCUGUGGCGAGGAGGGUCAGGAUGGCCUACGCGUGUUCCCGCUGACGGCCGGGGCUGGCACCAGCCCCAAGCCCGCCACAGAGGACACCUUGUUGAUGUUCUGGGAGGUCAACAGAUGUCGGGCUUCCACCCAGCAGCUCCAGGAGGGGAAAUGGUCGGGUUUGCCCCACACACGUCUAAGUGUUUUACGUCUGUUUGUCUUUCCAGGUCAUCAGGCGCACACACAUAAGCCACGGGAGAGGGGUAGUGGUGAGGGCAGUGCUACGUCUUCAGCGAGAGCAACGAGAAACAGCAAAACGUGAUCCGUAACAAAAAGUUGAGGGAGCUGCAUUGUUUGCACUUAAAAGAGCAUCUCAGAGAUAACUGCACACCGUGACAUAGCUACUAAUUCAUAUCCCAUGGAGAACUGGUAUUCAAAAAAAACCCUACUCCUGCAUGGUCCAUCUGCAUUGUUUCUAUUUUGGUGCUGUUGUCAGAGUAACCAUGACACUUUACGACAACUUCUUCUGAAUCUAGCAAGUGCUUCAUAUUUUCAUGGCAUUUUGGCUGAAGCCUGGACCAAGACAGCACUGUGAAACAAACCUAUUGAUUAAAGUGAUACAGGGAACAUUGUUACUGAACCUGCUGUCUCUGCAAGACACACAUGGCAAAGACAGAUCACUGUGAAGAGAUUAAUUACUGGUUAUCAGUGUAGUCUUCAUUCAUCUUUAGAAUCAGCUCAGGAUUAAAACUGUGUUAAGAGAACUCCCUUCCAAUGGAACUACAGUUUUGUGUAGCAUUUUAGGAUUUUGGUCAUGCUAAGGAGAUGCACAGAAACACAACGUAUGGACAGACAGGCAACAAAGCUGGUGAAGGAAUUGGGGCGUAAAUCUGGUGAGAAGCAGCUGAGGCACCUGGGGCUGUUUAGCCUGAAGAAGAGCUGGCUGAGAGGAGACAUGGUCACUCUCUACAACUACCUGAAAGGAGCUUGUAGUGAGGUGGGAGUUGGUCUCUUUUCCCAGGUAACGAGAGGAAAUGGCCUCAAGUUACACCAGAAGAGGUUUAAAUUGGGUAUUAGGAAGAACUUUGCC